AACGAACGCUGGCGGCAGGCCUAACACAUGCAAGUCGAGCGGAUGUAGCAAUACAUCAGCGGCGCACGGGUGAGUAACGCGUGGGAACCUGCCCUUUGGUACGGAACAACCCUGGGAAACUAGGGCUAAUACCGAAUACGCCUCGAGAGAGGGAAAGAUUUAUCGCCGAAGGAGGGGCCCGCGUCCGAUUAGCUAGUUGGUGGGGUAAAGGCCUACCAAGGCUACGAUCGGUAGCCGGUCUGAGAGGACGAUCGGCCACACCUGGGACUGAGACACGGCCCAGACUCCUACGGGAGGCAGCAGUGGGGAAUAGUUGGGCAAUGGGCGCGAAGCCUGAUCCAGCCAUGCCGCGUGAGUGAAGAAGGCCUUCGG
RNAcentral lists this ribosomal RNA (372 nucleotides) under uncultured bacterium. Its description in RNAcentral is "bacterial SSU rRNA". It matches the Rfam family "Bacterial small subunit ribosomal RNA", at positions 29 to 421 of the family's 1533-position model. The record is from RNAcentral.